UCUGUCUCUCGCUGUGUGUGUGUGUGUGUGUGUGUGUGUGUGUAUGGGUUGGUUGGUUGGUUCUUCUAUCCUUGUUUGUAGCUUUGUCCACGUUCAUGUGUCUCACUUCUGCAUUUGUUUGUCUAUCUGUUUUUAGCUUAUUACGUUUGUCUGUCUGCCCAUAUGUACAAUGCCCCACUGUGCGUGUAGGGUUUCUGGUUGCAACAUCAAAGACCGGGGUUUGCAUGAGUUUCCCUCCCGAGGUCUCCAUCCUCAUGUUGACCAUCAGUGGAUAACUUUCCUCAUCUUGGAAGAGUCGCAAGAAAAUGUACGCGCUUCAGUCUGCAAUGCGCAUUUCACCCAGGAGUCCUUUUCAAAUUACUUGGACUUUCAAAUGAGGCAAACUUUGACUCAAUGAAAAUGUUGUUCCGACCAUCUACCCAGACAACGAGACUGUAAGUAAAGAAAGCUUCUCAGCUAGCUAGUUAGCUGAUCAAAUGUAAAUUCUAAACUUGCUUCUUCUAGUUAGCUACAUCAUUACAAGAAAUGAUUAUGCAAGUAAUUAGCUAGUUAGUUACCUAACGACAUUAGCUAGUUGACUAGCUAGCUGACUGCUGACUAGCUAGCUGUGAUAAAUGUAUGCUAUCAAAACAUCUGAAUUAAGUGAGUUCAGUUCAAGUUAGCUAGCUAGCUACCAACUAUUUGGUUUAGGGCAAAACAUAUCCAAAACUGUACAAUGUACAUAUAUUUACAGGUUUCUAGAACAAGAGAGAUCGGCUGCCAGACAGACCCGCCGCAGGCUUGUGAUUUAUCUGCGCGAGCAUCCCCACAAAGGAGGAGCAAGGAGUCCCUGACACACCUGUUCACAUGGUGAAGAAGUACAUUGUGUACAAAUAUUGUCUGCUGCAGCUUUUCCACUGUUGUCCGGUUUGCACCAGAACAUGGAACAUCACAAAGCGGUUCAAAGGCACCCUGAUUUCCACUGUCCAGAUAUGGCCUCACUGUGACCACAUCAAGACAUGGAAGAGUCAGCCGUAUGUGUCCGACACCCCUGCAGGCAACCUCCACCUAACUGCAGCUAUUGCUUUCACAGGCUCUUCUAUUGCUCAGACAAACAAGAUCCUGAAUGCACUAAAAGUGCAGAUCAUAUCUGAGUCGACCUUUUACAGCCAUCAGAAAACGGUCCAGCUUCCAACCAUAUACUGGCAGUGGAAGUCAGAGCAGAGAGUCAUCCAGCAGUAUGUCAGGGAACCUGUGGAUCUUGGAGGGGAUAUGACAGCAGACUUGCCUGGCCACUGUGCAAAAUGUGGUUCGUAAAAUGUAUUUGCAUGCUCGUAAAAUGUAUUUGUGGAGAAAGGUACACAUGCCUGCAUGUCCUACGCAUAUUUGACCAUACGCACACAUAUACAAAUGUCCACAAUUCUCUUGUGUUGGACGGACAUUGAUCUCAAACACUAACAUCUAACGGGGUCCUACACCAUGGUCAACUUCAACAUUAACAGAGUGCUUGAUGUACAACUUGUAAAGGUGAGCUUUUGAUCCGUGGAGUACCUUUUUACAUUUUACAUUUUAGUCAUUUAGCAGACGCUCUUAUCCAGAGCGACUUUUCAGUGCCAUGUUGGUAAUGGCAAUCCUGAAUCCUGAUUUGGGGGCCUCUGUGCCCAGCCUAACAAAGAUUGAGGGAAACAUUGCUAAUGAUACUGUUAAUCUCUUCCACAGAGCAACGAAGUUGGCAAUAGUCUGAGAAUGGAGAAGGAGGGACUGCUGAGGAGCAUCGUGUCAGAUGUCAGCAUCGGCUCCAUUAUCACAGAUCAACACAUCUCAAUCCAGUAGUACCUGAGGGAGGAGAUGCCUGACAUUAAGCACUACUACGAUGGGUAGCAUGUGGCUAAAUAUAUGUAGUUGUUCAAUUUUCAAUUUUCAGAAAGUGUGGGUAUGACGGGGGGACUGCACAGGCAACAAGUAUGUGUAAUAAUCUGUCUGUUAUUUUGCAUCUAUCCAACUGUGUGGAAAAAACGUGAUGCCCUUGGGAAGGAGAGAGACUGUGAGACGGUUAGGGGCUGGCGAAGGUCAAUGUGAAUGUUAAACAUACUUGUGAUGUUCACUCACAUGUCUGACAUGUUGUCUUACAGACUUCUCCUUGCAGCCAUUCACUACAACGAGAAUGCAGACAGGCCUCAGGCAACCACUGCAGCCGGAGAACCCAGGUUCAUGAUUCUGUUCCCUAAGUGGAAGAAAGGAGACUACUCCACCAAAAUUUUGAAAUCUCAUCCUAUGUAUGCUAAGUCCACAAACUCCUUGGCGCUACUGUUCCAGGAUGUUGUGUGAGAUUCAGGGCCAUACCAACAGCUGCUGGAAAGCGUGACUAUCAUAGCCCCCCUCUGCAUUGAAUACGACCGACCGGAGAAGAGUGACGCCGUGGCCAAACACCAGUCUUGCUUUGCCUCUCUGGAGAAUGCUUGAGGACUGCUAUUGCUUUAGCAAUAGUGUGAUGACCGGAGACUGGAUGAGAAAGCAGUUGCAGCCGUCAACACAGUAAAUGUGUUCUACCGCCACACACUGAAGUACUGCGCCCAGAGUGCAGUCUACACAUUCAUUCAAGUAUAGUGAAGGACUGCUGUGCUGCGUGAGACCAGAUGGACAGAUGCUGAGUCAGUGGUUAUAUUGCAAUAAAGUUUUGAUUUAAUUGUAGCAUUUAAAUAAAGUGAGGAUGUUUACACAA
Molecule: long non-coding RNA, 2701 nt
Organism: Coregonus clupeaformis (lake whitefish)
Lineage: Eukaryota; Metazoa; Chordata; Actinopteri; Salmoniformes; Salmonidae
Exons: 6
Source: RefSeq, a predicted model, not a curated record